This 417-nucleotide ribosomal RNA is filed under the name Acanthamoeba sp. RAC023. RNAcentral describes it as "SSU rRNA". It matches the Rfam family "Eukaryotic small subunit ribosomal RNA", at positions 762 to 1101 of the family's 1831-position model. Lineage: Eukaryota; Discosea; Longamoebia; Acanthamoebidae. RNAcentral also lists the same sequence under 8 other names. The record is from RNAcentral.
AAAAUUAGAGUGUUCAAAGCAGGCAGAUCCAAUUUUCUGCCACCGAAUACAUUAGCAUGGGAUAAUGGAAUAGGACCCUGUCCUCCUAUUUUCAGUUGGUUUGCCGCGAGGACCAGGGUAAUGAUUAAUAGGGAUAGUUGGGGGCAUUAAUAUUUAAUUGUCAGAGGUGAAAUUCUUGGAUUUAUGAAAGAUUAACUUCUGCGAAAGCAUCUGCCAAGGAUGUUUUCAUUAAUCAAGAACGAAAGUUAGGGGAUCGAAGACGAUCAGAUACCGUCGUAGUCUUAACCAUAAACGAUGCCGACCAGCGAUUAGGAGACGUUGAAUACAAAACACCACCAUGCGCAUUGCGGUCGUCUUUGGUGUGUCGCUCACAAGGCGGCAUCAUCGGGACGGCUUAGCUCGCAUGGCACCGGUGAA